GAACUGGAGAGUUUGAUUCUGGCUCAGAUUGAACGCUGGCGGCGUGCUUAACACAUGCAAGUCGAACGUGAAAGGGGCUUCGGCCCUAAGUAAAGUGGCGCACGGGUGAGUAACACGUGGAUAAUCUGCCCUUAUGAUCGGGAUAACAGUCGGAAACGGCUGCUAAUACCGGAUACGCUCAA
RNAcentral lists this ribosomal RNA (182 nucleotides) under Desulfovibrio intestinalis. RNAcentral's name for it is "partial 16S ribosomal RNA". It matches the Rfam family "Bacterial small subunit ribosomal RNA", at positions 1 to 182 of the family's 1533-position model. Lineage: Bacteria; Pseudomonadati; Thermodesulfobacteriota; Desulfovibrionia; Desulfovibrionales; Desulfovibrionaceae. The record is from RNAcentral.